Molecule: ribosomal RNA, 388 nt
Filed under: uncultured bacterium
Lineage: Bacteria
Description: bacterial SSU rRNA
Rfam family: Bacterial small subunit ribosomal RNA
Source: RNAcentral
GACGAACGCUGGCGGCGUGCUUAACACAUGCAAGUCGAGCGGUAAGGCCCUUUCGGGGGUACACGAGCGGCGAACGGGUGAGUAACACGUGGGUGACCUGCCCUCAGCUCUGGGAUAAGCCUGGGAAACCGGGUCUAAUACUGGAUAUGACUCCAUGACGCAUGUUGUGGGGUGGAAAGCCUUGUGCGGCUGAGGAUGGGCCCGCGGCCUAUCAGCUUGUUGGUGGGGUGAGGCCUACCAAGGCGACGACGGGUAGCCGGCCUGAGAGGGCGACCGGCCACACUGGGACUGAGACACGGCCCAGACUCCUACGGGAGGCAGCAGUGGGGAAUCUUGCGCAAUGGGCGAAAGCCUGACGCAGCGACGCCGCGUGAGGGAUGACGGCCUU